AUGGGCAGGCAGCCUGUCACUGGAGAGCCGCUGACAGAAAUCUAUCCGCCAGAUGUACAGCGCUGUACCCAAGUCCUCUGCCCACACAGCUCAGCAGAAAACAUCUCACUCUCUCGCCAGCCGAGUCCUCUCAUUUCUCAGGGACAUUAUCACUCGCAUCAAGAGGUUUUCAGAGGAACGCGAGGAUCUCUGUUUCCGAAGGAGGACAGAAUAGAGCUCUGCAGCCCUGAGCCCCGAGGACGAAGGCGAGGAAAGGGGGCCAAGAUGGAGCCGAAGGGGAAGGGAGCGGGAUGGAGCCACCUGGAGGACCUCUAUUGGUUUGCUCAGAAGAGGCCGAAGCGACAGCGGAGGGAGAGAGAGAGAGAGAGAGAGAGAGAGAGAGAGAGAGACAGAGAGAGAGACAUCGAUGUGUCUGGAGAAGUGCGGAACGUGUUGCGUCACUCGACCAUGCAGAAUAUGUCCUCUUGCACAAACAGGAGACAAAGAGCUGGAGAUCAAGAUGGUUCCUCCCAUCCUCUGAUGUCAGCAGCUCUGGAGGACUCAGCACACCGGAUCUCGCAGUGUGCACAGCGGUUGCUCAAACACAAACAACGCGCAGAGCGUUGGCAACGAAAUGCGACGCGACGCCGGUCCCGCUAA
RNAcentral lists this long non-coding RNA (639 nucleotides) under Betta splendens (Siamese fighting fish). RNAcentral describes it as "lncRNA (ENSBSLG00000003610.1)". The record is from RNAcentral. Lineage: Eukaryota; Metazoa; Chordata; Actinopteri; Anabantiformes; Osphronemidae.